CUAGCAGAUUUCACCCCACUGACUAACUACCGAAUUGAGCGGAAGUAUGGUAUGUUUAGCCGAUUAGAUGCUUGCUCCUUUGUUGCCAACGUGUACGAUGAGGGAAACACACUAAGCAUUGUAACAGAUAGUCAUUUUCAUGGUACUCAUGUUGCUGGAAUAGCUACUGCCAACCACCCUGGGGAGCACUUGUUGAAUGGAGUGGCAC
Molecule: long non-coding RNA, 208 nt
Organism: Tarenaya hassleriana
Lineage: Eukaryota; Viridiplantae; Streptophyta; Magnoliopsida; Brassicales; Cleomaceae
Exons: 3
Source: RefSeq, a predicted model, not a curated record